UCAUGGUAGCCAAGAGCAAUAGCCUAAUUAAGAUUAUCUAGUUGUUGAAUAGUGAGGGGCAGGAACUGCGAUUGUUUCCUUCAUGCAAGUCUGCUUGCUUUAUGCCUUGUUAUUCAUCAUAAUAGCCUUCAGCAACUCGACUGUGAAUUGCUAAUAGCUGACUGCAGAACGUGAAACAGAAGCACCUCUUGGGUCAGGAGUUUUGCCCGUUGUAGCAUCACAAUGUAAUCCUAUUUGAGCUAUGGAUUUGGGGGUUUAAUACAAAGACACAUGAUGUAAAAGGUGGAAACUGAGUCUUUGCACUUUAAAAGGAAAAUAAAAUCUCUGUUUGUUUUAAGCAACUACACUGUGACUUGCAUCCUGAGUGGGUGGAGGCAACUUAAAUCCUGAAGAGGUGUGGUUAAAGUUCAUCCCUAUGCUUUAGGUUUCUUUGAACCUAGCCUGGCUAGGCUUUGGGCAGGUUUUGAGACAUAUGACUCCAUCCAAGCUGCAAUUGUAACACCCUGCUGGCUGUGUUUGCAGGAGUUACAUGAAGUGCUUCAGCUUGAACUGAAUUAUUGA
Molecule: long non-coding RNA, 561 nt
Filed under: Cyanistes caeruleus (blue tit)
Lineage: Eukaryota; Metazoa; Chordata; Aves; Passeriformes; Paridae
Description: lncRNA (ENSCCEG00000023332.1)
Source: RNAcentral